GGCCUACGGGGGGCAGCAGUGGGGAAUUUUGGACAAUGGGCGCAAGCCUGAUCCAGCUAUUCCGCGUGUGGGAUGACGGCCUUCGGGUUGUAAACCACUUUUGUAGAGAACGAAAAGUCUGUUGAUAAUACCGAUAGAUGAUGACGGUACUCUAAGAAUAAGCACCGGCUAACUACGUGCCAGCAGCCGCGGUAAUACGUAGGGUGCGAGCGUUAAUCGGAAUUACUGGGCGUAAAGGGUGUGCAGGCGGUUUUGCAAGGGGGAUGUGAAAACCCCGGGCUUAACCUGGGAAAGCCAUACAUGUC
RNAcentral lists this ribosomal RNA (305 nucleotides) under uncultured bacterium. Its description in RNAcentral is "bacterial SSU rRNA". It matches the Rfam family "Bacterial small subunit ribosomal RNA", at positions 335 to 633 of the family's 1533-position model. The record is from RNAcentral.